Non-coding RNA from Arenibacter sp., 137 nucleotides. Lineage: Bacteria; Pseudomonadati; Bacteroidota; Flavobacteriia; Flavobacteriales; Flavobacteriaceae. The record is from Rfam.
GAUAGACAAUUGGACUAUCGGGGAAGAUAUUCAGGUAUCUUUCUCAAACCGCCCUGUGGUGCUUGUUUCUAAGGGAACAGGUAUUGAGCGACAGGGUCAAGGCAGGCAAACCAUAUUAUUGUUAUUGCCUGUAAGGU